GCGGGAAUAGCUCAGUUGGUAGAGCACGACCUUGCCAAGGUCGGGGUCGCGAGUUCGAGUCUC
This 63-nucleotide transfer RNA is filed under the name Escherichia coli. RNAcentral describes it as "tRNA-Gly". It matches the Rfam family "tRNA", at positions 1 to 61 of the family's 71-position model. Rfam says of the family: Transfer RNA (tRNA) molecules are approximately 80 nucleotides in length. Their secondary structure includes four short double-helical elements and three loops (D, anti-codon, and T loops). The record is from RNAcentral. RNAcentral also lists the same sequence under 5 other names. Lineage: Bacteria; Pseudomonadati; Pseudomonadota; Gammaproteobacteria; Enterobacterales; Enterobacteriaceae.